Molecule: long non-coding RNA, 498 nt
Organism: Scomber scombrus (Atlantic mackerel)
Lineage: Eukaryota; Metazoa; Chordata; Actinopteri; Scombriformes; Scombridae
Exons: 3
Source: RefSeq, a predicted model, not a curated record
AUUGUGCACCUUGAAGGCAAAAAGGACAGUGGUGGAAAAAGUAUUUAGCUGGCACUCCACCACCCGGUCCACUUUAUCAGAGAGCUGCAGAGAAGCACGGGAUCAAUGUUAACGACAGGUGUCUGUUUACCCUCUAAAACACGGAGCCAAGUUAAACAAGUGCAAAGAUGCCCAUUAAAAGACCACAGACUGUCCUUAUUAGAAGAGAAAUGUACUGCGGUUGCCGGGGGAAGAACAGUAUUGCUACUGAUGACGUUACCCACUCAGGGUGGAGCUACACCGCUCACUCAUAUAUCAAAAAUGCCCCCCGCACAUUAAAUAACUCAAACCACAUGAUUUAUUUAUUUGUUUAUGAUGCCAAUAAAUGCAUUCAGGGAGUUGUAGUAAAGAAAAACUUUUGAUUUAUUGUACCCCUGUGAUGCGCAGCCUUGAUCGCGCUCUCCUCCUGAACAGCUUCCCUGCAGUUUUCCUGGCAGCCGUUUUCUCGUUCUUCUCUGA